RNAcentral lists this ribosomal RNA (254 nucleotides) under uncultured bacterium. RNAcentral's name for it is "partial 16S ribosomal RNA". It matches the Rfam family "Bacterial small subunit ribosomal RNA", at positions 524 to 776 of the family's 1533-position model. The record is from RNAcentral.
GACAGAGGGUGCAAACGUUGUUCGGAAUUACUGGGCGUAAAGGGCGCGUAGGCGGCCACCGCAAGUCAAUUGUGAAAUCUCCGGGCUUAACUCGGAAAGGUCAACUGAUACUGCGGGGCUAGAGUGCGGAAGGGGCAACUGGAAUUCUCGGUGUAGCGGUGAAAUGCGUAGAUAUCGAGAGGAACACCUGCGGCGAAGGCGGGUUGCUGGGCCGACACUGACGCUGAGGCGCGAAAGCCAGGGGAGCGAAUGGG